Molecule: ribosomal RNA, 234 nt
Filed under: uncultured bacterium
Lineage: Bacteria
Description: partial 16S ribosomal RNA
Rfam family: Bacterial small subunit ribosomal RNA
Source: RNAcentral
GCCGUCCCCCUUCCCCGUCCCGGCCCGACCUACUACGAACGUACCCUUACCGGACGGGCGAGGCAGUGGGGAAUCUUGCACAAUGGGCGAAAGCCUGAUGCAGCGACGCCGCGUGGGGGAUGGAAGCUUUUCGGAGUGUAAACCCCUUUCGACCCGGACGAAAACCUCGCAAGAGGAUUGACGGUACGGGUAUAAGAAGCCCCGGCUAACUACGUGCCAGCAGCCGCGGUAUAC